This 497-nucleotide ribosomal RNA is filed under the name uncultured bacterium. Its description in RNAcentral is "partial 16S ribosomal RNA". It matches the Rfam family "Bacterial small subunit ribosomal RNA", at positions 28 to 507 of the family's 1533-position model. The record is from RNAcentral.
GAUGAACGCUGGCGGCGUGCCUAAUACAUGCAAGUCGAGCGAACAGACGAGGAGCUUGCUCCUCUGACGUUAGCGGCGGACGGGUGAGUAACACGUGGAUAACCUACCUAUAAGACUGGGAUAACUUCGGGAAACCGGAGCUAAUACCGGAUAAUAUAUUGAACCGCAUGGUUCAAUAGUGAAAGACGGUUUUGCUGUCACUUAUAGAUGGAUCCGCGCCGCAUUAGCUAGUUGGUAAGGUAACGGCUUACCAAGGCGACGAUGCGUAGCCGACCUGAGAGGGUGAUCGGCCACACUGGAACUGAGACACGGUCCAGACUCCUACGGGAGGCAGCAGUAGGGAAUCUUCCGCAAAGGGCGGAAGCCUGACGGAGCAACGCCGCGUGAGUGAUGAAGGUCUUCGGAUCGUAAAACUCUGUUAUUAGGGAAGAACAAAUGUGUAAGUAACUAUGCACGUCUUGACGGUACCUAAUCAGAAAGCCACGGCUAACUACGUG